RNAcentral lists this ribosomal RNA (253 nucleotides) under uncultured bacterium. RNAcentral describes it as "partial 16S ribosomal RNA". It matches the Rfam family "Bacterial small subunit ribosomal RNA", at positions 524 to 776 of the family's 1533-position model. The record is from RNAcentral.
UACGUAGGGUGCAAGCGUUAAUCGGAAUUACUGGGCGUAAAGCGCGCGCAGGCGGUUUUGUAAGUCUGUCGUGAAAGCCCCGGGCUCAACCUGGGAAUUGCGAUGGAGACUGCAAGGCUUGAAUCUGGCAGAGGGGGGUAGAAUUCCACGUGUAGCAGUGAAAUGCGUAGAGAUGUGGAGGAACACCGAUGGCGAAGGCAGACCCCUGGGUCAAGAUUGACGCUCAUGCACGAAAGCGUGGGGAGCAAACAGG